CGCCACCAUUAAGCAGGAUCGUCUCCCCAGGAGUACCUCUAGAAGCUUCUGUUGGGGGUGGGGAGACAACUUCCUGAGCAGCCUGCCUGAUAAGGUCUCAGCACUGCUAAAUGAAGUCUC
Non-coding RNA from Erinaceus europaeus (western European hedgehog), 120 nucleotides. Lineage: Eukaryota; Metazoa; Chordata; Mammalia; Eulipotyphla; Erinaceidae. The record is from Rfam.